RNAcentral lists this small RNA (215 nucleotides) under Streptomyces sp. CNQ-509. Its description in RNAcentral is "Actinobacteria sRNA Ms_IGR-5". It matches the Rfam family "Actinobacteria sRNA Ms_IGR-5". The record is from Rfam by way of RNAcentral. Lineage: Bacteria; Bacillati; Actinomycetota; Actinomycetes; Kitasatosporales; Streptomycetaceae.
ACACGAGAAGGGAGGUGGUUCGGCAGAUGAUGAAGUACCGGACGCGUGAGGUGACUGCGGGCUAGUGGUCCGCCGUCGCGCUUGAGCGCAAUGCCGGACCCGGGUGCCUAGGACGCAUCCAGCCGGCCCUUAUCCCAAGCAGUUCACCCGACCCGCGGUCCGCCGGGACGUCCGACCGGCUCCCCUCCAGGGGAAUGGGCCGCGGGUCGUCUGCU